RNAcentral lists this transfer RNA (74 nucleotides) under Deltaproteobacteria bacterium. RNAcentral's name for it is "tRNA-Gln". It matches the Rfam family "tRNA". From Rfam's summary of the family: Transfer RNA (tRNA) molecules are approximately 80 nucleotides in length. Their secondary structure includes four short double-helical elements and three loops (D, anti-codon, and T loops). Further hydrogen bonds mediate the characteristic L-shaped molecular structure. tRNAs have two regions of fundamental functional importance: the anti-codon, which is responsible for specific mRNA codon recognition, and the 3' end, to which the tRNAs corresponding amino acid is attached (by aminoacyl-tRNA synthetases). tRNAs cope with the degeneracy of the genetic code in two manners: having more than one tRNA (with a specific anti-codon) for a particular amino acid; and 'wobble' base-pairing, i.e. permitting non-standard base-pairing at the 3rd anti-codon position. Lineage: Bacteria; Pseudomonadati; Myxococcota; Myxococcia. The record is from RNAcentral. RNAcentral also lists the same sequence under 3 other names.
UGGGAGAUCGUUCAACGGUAGGACAGCGGACUCUGACUCCGUCAAUCAAGGUUCGAAUCCUUGUCUCCCAGCCA